Long non-coding RNA from Eubalaena glacialis (North Atlantic right whale), 1609 nucleotides. RefSeq lists it as uncharacterized. The transcript is spliced from 3 exons. The record is from RefSeq and is a predicted model, not a curated record. NCBI's taxonomy places the organism in Eukaryota, Metazoa, Chordata, Mammalia, Artiodactyla, Balaenidae.
UCAGCUCCAAGUGAUGAGGAAAAACAAAAACAAGUCUCGAUUGUUUCAAUAUUUCCAGAGGAAAAUCAAAGGAUAAAGUCAAUGCAGGUUGGGUCAAUUUUUGUGACGACACGAAUUGAAGUAGGUUCGGAUUUUGCUGGGAUGUCGUUCCAGUGCCCACCAUCCCCCACGAUGACAAGAGCAAAACAUGAGCAUCUUAAAUAAAGAAAACGCCAGCUCUGCGGGUACAGCGCGCAGCCGUCCUUCUCCGCAGGCCACACGGCGACCAGCUCCGAGCCGCGCACGCGGCGACCCCCGGACAGAGAGCCACUGACACGACGUGAGCGCGGUGCUCCCUUCCUUCCCAGCUCACCUCCAACACUGCGACGCGGACGAAACACUGAGGGAAGGCCUGAGGGGAGCCCAAAGGACGGAACUUCUCACACAAGGUGACCGUGGAGAGCAGGCUUGAACGUGGCCCCGGGGUGGGCCACCCCCGUCGUGCCAGGAUGGUUCAGUCGGUGAAACGGGUUAACGCGGCAACACUGGCUGCCAAGUCACACAUCCAAGACGAGGUUAUAAAAAAUGCUGCAGCUCCCGCCUAAGGUUCUCUCCCGCUCCAGCUCUUACUCUCUCCUUCGUGGCCCACUUGCUCUGCGGGAAGCAGGCUGCCAUGCUGUGAGGGGCCCUGUCGAGAGGCCCCCCUGCUGAGGGACGGAAGCUUGGGGCUCACAGCCAGGGAGGGUCUGAGGUUCCUGCCUGUAGCCAUGUGGGUGAUCUUGGAAGAUGCUCCCCUGUCACACCUUCAGAUGAGACUCUAACCCAGCCAACAGCUUGACUGCAGCCUGCUGCAGGACCUUGACUCACUGCCACCCAGCGAAGCCCAUCCCUAAUUCCUGACCCACAGAAACUGCAGCAUAAGAGGUGCUUGUAGUUUCAAGCUGCUAACUUUAGGGACAAUUUUCUAGGCAGCCAGGGUAACAAAUACCAUGUCUGCAGGUAUUUUGAGGGGUACAGGGAGGAGCCAGGUUACUAGGCCACCUGUGCUCGUCCAAGAGACGCCUGGUGGGUGACGGGGGCUUACCUGGCUGGGACCCUGGGCGGGGGUCACCUGUCCUCCAAGGUCCUUCUUGUCCAGCCGCUGGCACCUCGUCCCUACGACAUCUUGGUGCCCCGGGAGAUGCUAUCACAUUUGAGCUGCAGUGUCAUAUAUUCUGACUCUCAGUUCUGUUAUUUCCAACAGGUCAUCUGCCUGGUAAAGAACCACAUCCUAGAAAAAGCAGAGCUGAAAUGUGUAUAAUAGGCGAUAGCUUUAUUUAUUUUCAAAAUGUUUAUUUGCAAGCUACUAGGUCUUUGGAGACAACAAAGGCAAUUGGCUAAGGUCAUUCAGCUAAGGGAAAGAGAGAUUUGAAACAGAACCGGGUAUCUAGACUCUAAGGUCUGACUUGGAAAUGGUAAGAAUAAAUGAUUCAUGGCAAGAAUAAAUAAUGCAUUUAAAUUAAGUAUUAAUUGAAAUUAGUCAAGCUGAAAUGAUAGGUAGAAUUAAAACUGGUAAAAUUUAUUUUACAUUUUAAAAAAGUUAUCAUUUGGGUGAUUACUAAUUUAAAUUGCUGCCCAUCAGAUACAUGAA